Molecule: ribosomal RNA, 491 nt
Filed under: uncultured bacterium
Lineage: Bacteria
Description: partial 16S ribosomal RNA
Rfam family: Bacterial small subunit ribosomal RNA
Source: RNAcentral
AGUGAACGCUGGCGGUAGGCCUAACACAUGCAAGUCGAACGGCAGCACAGUAAGAGCUUGCUCUUACGGGUGGCGAGUGGCGGACGGGUGAGGAAUACAUCGGAAUCUACUUUUUCGUGGGGGAUAACGUAGGGAAACUUACGCUAAUACCGCAUACGACCUACGGGUGAAAGUAGGGGAUCUUCGGACCUUGCGCGAUUGAAUGAGCCGAUGUCGGAUUAGCUAGUUGGCGGGGUAACGGCCCACCAAGGCGACGAUCCGUAGCUGGUCUGAGAGGAUGAUCAGCCAAACGGAAACUGAGACACGGUCCAGACUCCAACGGGAGGCAGCAGGGGGGAAUAUUGGACAAUGGGCGCAAGCCUGAUCCAGCCAUACCGCGUGGGUGAAGAAGGCCUGCGGGUUGUAAAGCCCUUUUGUUGGGAAAGAAAAGCAGCAGGUUAAUACCCCGCUGUUCGGACGGUACCCAAAGAAUAAGCACCGGCUAACUUCGU